AUUGAACGCUGGCGGCAGGCUUAACACAUGCAAGUCGAACGAGUGGCGGACGGGUGAGUAAUGCUUGGGAAUCUCGCUUAUGGAGGGGGAUAACUACGGGAAACUGUAGCUAAUAACGCGUACCAUAGGAUGAGUGCAGGUGGGAUGAGGUAGGUGGUGAGGUAAAGGAACACCAAGCCGACGAUCUCUAGCUGGUCUGAUAGGAUGACCAGCCACACUGCGACUGAAACGCGACCCAGACUCAUACGGGAGGCAGCAGUGGGGAAAGUUGCGCAAUGGGAGCAACCUAGCGCAGCCAUGCCGCGUGAAUUAAGAAGUCCUUCGGGUUGUAAAGUUCUUUCGGUAGCGAAGCGUUAACUACAGAAGAAGCACCGGCUAACUCCGUGCCAGCAGCCGCGGUAAUAC
RNAcentral lists this ribosomal RNA (405 nucleotides) under uncultured bacterium. Its description in RNAcentral is "partial 16S ribosomal RNA". It matches the Rfam family "Bacterial small subunit ribosomal RNA", at positions 30 to 526 of the family's 1533-position model. The record is from RNAcentral.